UAAUAAUGCGGCGAUUCUGCUCUGUUCCGCGAGGCCGGCGAGCGGCCGCCGCUUCCUACGGCCACCACCACCACCAGCCGCCGCCACCGCUCCCGCCGCCGGAGUGGAUCGAGCCGUACACUGACCUGUCGGACCCCAGCCCGUCCGCCUCCGCCACCCCGUCGCCGUGGCUCGCCCGCGUCGUCUCCCUCGUCCUCCGCUCCCCGCCCGCCACGCUCGCCGCCGACCUCCGCGCCUUCUGCAGGACCUUCCUCCUCCGCCUCUCCCCCGCCUUCGUCGCCGCGGCCCUGCGGUCGCCGCAGCUCCUCCCCCACCCGCUCCCCUCGCUCCAGUUCUUCCGCUCCCUCCCCGACGGCGCCGCCGACCUCCUCUCCUCCCACCCGCAGCACCUGGUGAGCUGCUACGUCUCGCUGCUGCGCUCCUUCGCCCACUCCGGGGAGGCCGGCCCGGGCGCCGCGGCCCACGCGCGGCAGCUCGUCGCCGAGCUGCGCGCGCGCGGGGACCUCGCCUUGCAGCACCUCACGCCGUCGUCGUCGGCGUCUCUGAUCCGAAGCCUCGCUGCUCUCGGCCUCUCUGAUGAACUUCUAUGGGCGUGGAAGGCCAUGCGCCUCGCCGGCGUCGAGCCGUCCAGGCUGAUCUACAACUGCCUUCUCGAUGGCCUUGUUAACGCCGGCCUUCUUGAUACUGCCGUCAAUGUGUUCGACGCAAUGUCCACGGAAGAUCAAGUGCGCCCUGACGUGGUCUCCUACAACAUCCUCAUCAAGGGGUAUUGCCGUGCUGGGAGGGCGCAGGAUGCAAUGGCACGGCUCAGCGACAUGCAGGAACAGGCGAAGCUCACACCGGACAAGGUGACGUACCUCACACUAAUGCAGUGCCAUUACAGCGAAGGCACCUAUCCAGUGUGCAUAGGAUUGUUCCAGGAAAUGGAGGAGAGAGGAAUGGGGAAAGACAUACCACAGCAUGCUUAUGUUUUGGUGAUUGGUGCACUCUGCAAGGAUGGGAAGCCAUUUGAGGGAAUGGCAGUGUUUGAGAGGAUGCUGAAGCGAGGUUGUGCAGCCAAUGCAGCUAUAUACACUGCGCUCAUUGACUCAAUGGGUAAAUUCGGUAGAGAAAAGGAGGCAAUGGUACUUUUUGAGAGGAUGAAAGAUAGUGGGAUUAAACUCGACUCAGUUACUUAUGGAGUGAUUGUCAAUUGCCUGUGCCGCUUUGGGAAAUUUGAUGAGGCUGUUGCAUGCUUCAGAAAUUGUGAAGAGAAGGGCAUUGCAGUGAAUGCCAUCUUCUAUACAAGCUUGCUUGAUGGCUUUGGAAAAGCUGGAAUGGUCGACCAAGCACAGGAGCUCUUUGAGGAGAUGAUUGCUAAAGGUUUUGUGCCUGAUUCAUACUGCUACAAUGUUCUAAUUGAUGGAUUAGCCAAAUCAGGAAGGAUGGAUGAUGCAUGUGCUUUGUGUAAAAGAAUGGAAGAUGAUGGCUGUGAUCAAACUGUGUAUACAUAUACCAUUCUCAUUGAUGGUUUGUUCAAGAAACACAAGAAUGAGGAGGCACUGAAAUUUUGGGACGCAAUGAUCGAUAAGGGAAUUACCCCCACAGCUGCAGCUUUUAGGACCCUUGCCAAUGGGCUCUGUCUUUCUGGUAAAUUCAGCCAGGCAUGCAGGAUAUUGGAUGAACUUGCUCCAAUGGGGGUUAUUCCUGAGACAGCUCAUGAGGAUAUGAUUAAUGUGCUGUGUAAGGCUGGCAGAUUCAAGCAGGCCUGCAAAUUAGCAGAUGGAAUUGUAAAGAAAGGCCGUGAAAUACCUGGUAGGGUUCGUACAAUGAUGAUCAAUGCACUUCGAAAAGCAGGAAAUACUGAUCUAGCUGUCAAACUAGUGCAUAGUAAGAUAGGCAUUGGAUAUGAAAGAUCUGGCAGCAUCAAAAGAAGAGUGAAAUUUCAGACCCUGUUUCAGUGAGUUGCUGCUGAUUGUUAUUGAAAGUGGGAAGGCAUGUGAGUUACUGAUGGAUUUUGCAUGAUUUUUUUCACAGUAAUUAAUCUAUCUGCACAGGAAUUAGAAAAAAAAAAUCCUCAAUCCGAAGCUAGGCCUGAGUAGAGAUACCAUGGACAACGCUUAGGUCUCACACUGCAGUGCAGGAGAAAGAAUGUCCUCCAAAUAUUUUUGAACAUUUGGCAGAUUUCAGGAUUCCAGAAGCUUGAAACAUGUCAAUUUUGAACAACCAAAGGAAAUGCCAUUGCCUUAGUAAACAUAGAGGUUAGAGCAAUCUUCCACCUACAACUAGAGAAAAGAAAGUUGGUCCAUGAGUAUCACCUAAGAAAAAGAAAAGAACUCGGUCCUGGAUAUUCUCCAACUAAUUUGAGGUAUCACCUUUGAGUAAUGCCUAAGGCACGAGAGAAUAUGUGUUCAUUUGCUGGAGAUGAAGUAGGAUGGAGCGUGAAGACAUAUCAAUGAUAAUAUAGCAUGUUAGAGCAAACAACCUUCAUAUGGGGCACUAAUGGUGCUCCGACCUCUUGUUUUCUUCACCCACCUUGGGAGAAAUGUUGUGCGCCAAAAUCUCAGGGAGAGGAUGAGGCUGGGGUCUGCUGCUAUAGUUCAUCUGGGGGACUUUGGGAGAACAGGAAAAAGAAAGCAAAAUUGAGAGAUGGAGAAGAAACUGGAGAAACUGCCAUGUUUAGCUAGUUCAGUAGCUCGUAUCAGUAUCACUAAAGGGAAAUCAUAGCAGAGCUCCGUUUCGAGCUCAGACCUACAUCUGGUGGUGGUUUGCGGCUCUUGUCUCGUAGUGACGAGGACCAUGUUGGAGGCUUCACCGCUUCAGCAGCAAUCCGAGCACGAUUGGAGGCUCUCCAGGCAAUCUUCUGCGGUUGUGUAUGGAGCUUCUUUCCUUGAAUCUUGGAUUCAUUUAGUUCUGUCUCCAAGGAAUCAAGAUAUUGAUACAUCAAGAGUUACAUGUUGAACUGUAGCUGCAAGUGGCACAUAUAGAGAUGGCAAAGGGGACCGCGACCUGAGACCUGGUGGAUAUUUACUCCAUUAGGGUAUGGAUAUGAGCUAAAUAUGUUACCCGUGGGUAAGUAAUUGGGCAAAUACUUUUACCCAAUGGGUAUGCGGGUAUGGAAACGUUCUUAUGAUCCCCAUACCCGUUUACCCAUGGGUAAUAAAUACCCAUAAAGUUUAAAUGUAUGUCAUGGCCUAAUAUCAAAUUAGCAUAGCCUAAUUAACCAAAACCAUAGGUAUUUAAACCAUCUAUACAUUUUUCACUACACUAUAUGAAUGUAUGAUGUCCUAAGUAUCUAGUGUCUAUGCAAUAUACUAUAUGGAAACUGUGAUAUUUAGAUUGUUUUGAACUUUUGCGGGUAUAUGGGUGACGCAACGGGUAAAGUUUACCCAAGCAGGUAUAGGUAUGGGGAGGUUUUCUUACCUGUGACAAGUAUGGUAUUUUAAUGGUACAAUGGGUAUGGGUAUGGGAUAGCAACACCCGAUGAGUAUUUACCCAUUGCCAUCCCUAGACACAUAUUUGUUUUUCCAUAUGUGGAAUGUGGAGAAGGUUGAAUAUCAGAUAUCCUACAUGUUGAACAGGAACAUGAAGUGGAAGGUAAUCAUUCUCGUAUCCUCUUUUAUGUGACUCUAACAAGGAGGAAUGGUUUAAUUGUCCACAUUUUCGGCUUUCUUUGGUUAUCAUCAAUAGCAAUACAAAACAUGGACUCAUUUUAAUGCUGACAAUUAUUUUUCUAAGAAUGAGCUGAAGGACCUAAAUCUGGUAGCAGUUCAUGCUAGCCCUGAGCUGAUCAACCUGAAUAUCAUGAAUAUUCUUACACUAUAAAUUUCUCAUAUUUAAUUUUACUGUCAGACUGUAAACCGACUGAUCAGAGCUAUCUUAGCAUUGAACAUCGACUGAUAUGGUUUCUUUUGUUUGUUGCAUGCAAGGUGAUCAGUAUCGGGAUACUAGGUAGGAUUGUUUUCUGUUUGGUAGUAUCAUAGAAUCGAGAUACUAUUGUAGGAUUGGCAUACUGUUGAAUUUGAGAAAGUGUAUAUUUUUAUAUAAAAUAUGUAAUAUGUAUGUUGUAUAAA
Oryza brachyantha (malo sina) is the source of this 4052-nucleotide RNA transcript. It is a transcript of the gene named pentatricopeptide repeat-containing protein At1g03560, mitochondrial, with no coding region annotated. Lineage: Eukaryota; Viridiplantae; Streptophyta; Magnoliopsida; Poales; Poaceae. The record is from RefSeq and is a predicted model, not a curated record. The transcript is spliced from 3 exons.